AUGUACAUUUAUAUUUUUAUGGCUUUUGUCCUUGACUUUGAUUCUGUUACCUCCAGUCUCUUCCAUGCUGCUAAAGCUUAUGAACAAGCUGGCAUGAUGUUAAAGGUAUUGACGAGUUUUUAUCAAAACACUGUCUUUUAUAGUGAAGAAUGUUGUGCACUGGGUUGUUUCAAAAUAUAUGUAAAUGAAUUGCACAUUAGUGGUGGCCUAACUCACAGUCCCCAUGAACAUCCUCGCUAGUCUAGGGAAGAUGCGUUGUAAUUGCAGGGUUUUUUUUUUCUAUAAAGAAAGAGAGGUGAGGCCUCAUAUCAUAGGGUUUACUUCUGCUCUAAAAUUCCACAGAUUCAUGCGUUACAUGGGGAAGAAAGUAAUUGUGGACUCAAAUCAGGGUAGAUUAAAGUCACAGAAAUGUAAGGUCACGUUCUAGCUCUGUUACAGCUUCACAGUUGACCACAUACUAGUAAGCUGAUAAUGAUACUGACAAUACUAAUGAUCCUGGUAAUAUCAGUAAAAGAACAACUCAGGAAAGAGGGGUGGGAGAAUCAGGUUUUCUUAUUGGGAUAGGAUUACGUUAAUCUUUUUAUUUCUAUUAGGAUCAGUAAAAAUAAGUGUACCCAGCAAUGUUUAGAAGCUGUACUGUGGCAAGACCAUUUUGUUUUGCCUGCCUGUGCCAGUAGUACUUGUUUGAUAGGCUGUUAGAAUUGCAUUCUUGGUUGAAGUAUUUUAUUCAUGUGUGACAAUUUUUUUUUUCCUACGUAUUUCACAUAGGGGUAGCAUAUAUGUUAUAUAACCCUUAAAUGCAUAUUUGCUAAAUAUUAGCUUGGCACUCCAUUAACCUUGUGAUACAACGCAUAUAGUAUGAACUGUUGCCUAACCUUUCAGUAAGGUCUUGGUGACAUCUUCAGACUUCAUGCAGUAGGUUAUUGUAAACCUCAUGAACACUAAAAUCUGCUGCUCUAGUUUGGCUGCUUAUCAGAAUCCCUAAUAGAGCGCUUUUUGAGCAUGUAAGGUUACUCAAUUGUUGUGUAGAUCACUGGGUGAAAUUAUUUGAGCUUUAUUAAAUCAGUGCAUAUUAAGGUUGCUAUUUGCAAGUGACUUUUAUGGGAUUUGUCAACUUUCAUUAGCUCCUCAAGUCUGGAAGUAAAAGUUAGAAUCUUAAUUCAGUGUUCAACCUUCUGGGAAGGUCAGUACAUCUGUGGACUGCUGUUCAGAUGCCCUCUAGCUACUUGUUAAAUUAGAC
RNAcentral lists this long non-coding RNA (1240 nucleotides) under Struthio camelus australis. Its description in RNAcentral is "lncRNA (ENSSCUG00000015103.1)". Lineage: Eukaryota; Metazoa; Chordata; Aves; Struthioniformes; Struthionidae. The record is from RNAcentral.